GACGAACGCUGGCGGCGUGCUUAAUACAUGCAAGUCGAACGGAAAGGCCCUGCUUUUGUGGGGUGCUCGAGUGGCGAACGGGUGAGUAAUACGUGAGUAACCUGCCCUUGACUUUGGGAUAACUUCAGGAAACUGGGGCUAAUACCGGAUAGGAGCUCCUGCUGCAUGGUGGGGGUUGGAAAGUUUCGGCGGUUGGGGAUGGACUCGCGGCUUAUCAGCUUGUUGGUGGGGUAGUGGCUUACCAAGGCUUUGACGGGUAGCCGGCCUGAGAGGGUGACCGGCCACAUUGGGACUGAGAUACGGCCCAGACUCCUACGGGAGGCAGCAGUGGGGAAUAUUGCACAAUGGGCGGAAGCCUGAUGCAGCAACGCCGCGUGCGGGAUGACGGCCUUCGGGUUGUAAACCGCUUUCGCCUGUGACGAAGCGUGAGUGACGGUAAUGGGUAAAGAAGCACCGGCUAACUACGUG
This 468-nucleotide ribosomal RNA is filed under the name uncultured bacterium. RNAcentral's name for it is "partial 16S ribosomal RNA". It matches the Rfam family "Bacterial small subunit ribosomal RNA", at positions 28 to 507 of the family's 1533-position model. The record is from RNAcentral.